This 312-nucleotide ribosomal RNA is filed under the name uncultured Glomeromycotina. RNAcentral's name for it is "LSU rRNA". The record is from RNAcentral. Lineage: Eukaryota; Fungi; Glomeromycota.
UUGAAAGGGAAACGAUUGAAGUCAGUCAUGCCGGUGGGAAUCAACUUAGGGGAAACUCUAGGUGCACUUCUUCGCUUGGCAGGUCAACGUCGAUUUUGAAUGUCAUAAAAUAAUUGGGGGAAGGUAGCUCCUUCGGGAGUGUUAUAGCCCUUGAUAGAUGUGAUGUUUGGGGUCGAGGAUUGCAACGGAUACCCUCUGGGGCUAGCCGCCUGAUCUCUAAUCGGUGUUGGGUUACGGAUAGCAUGCUGACCGUGAUCUAAUUACUGGUUAAAAGGUUAGAGUAUGCAUAAAUUCGUUAAGGAUGUUGACGUA